UUCCGCUUCCCGUACGAUCACCAAAGUUAAGCAACGUCAAUUCUGGUCAGUACCUAUAUGGGUGACCACUUAGGAAUACCAGGUGUUGUAAG
Acanthosepion pharaonis is the source of this 92-nucleotide non-coding RNA. The record is from the annotation of a GenBank genome assembly. Lineage: Eukaryota; Metazoa; Mollusca; Cephalopoda; Sepiida; Sepiidae.